Molecule: ribosomal RNA, 380 nt
Filed under: uncultured eukaryote
Lineage: Eukaryota
Description: partial 18S ribosomal RNA
Rfam family: Eukaryotic small subunit ribosomal RNA
Source: RNAcentral
CAAUAGCGUAUAUUAAAGCUGUUGCGGUUAAAAAGCUCGUAGUUGGAUUUCUGUCAAGGACAACUGGUCCGCCCUCCGGGUGAGCACAUAGUUUGGUCUUGGCAUCUUGUUGGAAACUGUUGCUGCGCUUGGUUGUGUGGUGCAGCUUCCAGCACUUUCACUUUGAGGAAAUUGGAGUGUUUCAAGCAGGCACAUGCCUUUGGACACAGUAGCAUGGAAUAAUUAGAUUGGGCUUUUGCUCCAACUUGUCGGUUCCUGGAGCUGAGGUGAGAAUCAAUGGGGAUUGUUGGGGGCAUCCGAAUUUAGCCGUCAGAGGUGAAAUUCUUGGAUCUGCUAAAGACGGACAACUGCGAANGNGUUUGCNCAGGAUGUUUNCAUUG